GAUGAACGCUGGCGGCGUGCCUAAUACAUGCAAGUCGAGCGAACAGACGAGGAGCUUGCUCCUCUGACGUUAGCGGCGGACGGGUGAGUAACACGUGGAUAACCUACCUAUAAGACUGGGAUAACUUCGGGAAACCGGAGCUAAUACCGGAUAAUAUAUUGAACCGCAUGGUUCAAUAGUGAAAGACGGUUUUGCUGUCACUUAUAGAUGGAUCCGCGCCGCAUUAGCUAGUUGGUAAGGUAACGGCUUACCAAGGCAACGAUGCGUAGCCGACCUGAGAGGGUGAUAGGCCACACUGGAACUGAGACACGGUCCAGACUCCUACGGGAUGCAGCAGUAGGGAAUCUUCCGCAAUGGGCGGAAGCCUGACGGAGCAACGCCGCGUGAGUGAUGAAGGUCUUCGGAUCGUAAAACUCUGUUAUUAGGGAAGAACAAAUGUGUAAGUAACUAUGCACGUCUUGACGGUACCUAAUCAGAAAGCCACGGCUAACUACGUG
This 497-nucleotide ribosomal RNA is filed under the name uncultured bacterium. RNAcentral's name for it is "partial 16S ribosomal RNA". It matches the Rfam family "Bacterial small subunit ribosomal RNA", at positions 28 to 507 of the family's 1533-position model. The record is from RNAcentral.